This 253-nucleotide ribosomal RNA is filed under the name uncultured bacterium. RNAcentral describes it as "partial 16S ribosomal RNA". It matches the Rfam family "Bacterial small subunit ribosomal RNA", at positions 524 to 776 of the family's 1533-position model. The record is from RNAcentral.
UACGUAGGGGGCAAGCGUUGUCCGGAAUCAUUGGGCGUAAAGCGCGUGUAGGCGGCUGACUAAGUCCGCUCUGAAAGCCCGGGGCUCAACCCCGGGAGGCGGGUGGAUACUGGUCAGCUCGAGUCCGGAAGAGGAGUGUGGAAUUCCUGGUGUAGCGGUGAAAUGCGCAGAUAUCAGGAGGAACACCAAUGGCGAAGGCAGCACUCUGGGACGGUACUGACGCUGAGACGCGAAAGCGUGGGGAUCAAACAGG